GGAAAGGAGUUUUUAGAUGAGAAAUUUUUUUUUAGGGAUUCACAGGGGAAGAGAGAAGAUGGAGAUUUAACCAUUGACCGGAAUGUAAAUAAAC
Molecule: long non-coding RNA, 94 nt
Organism: Juglans microcarpa x Juglans regia
Lineage: Eukaryota; Viridiplantae; Streptophyta; Magnoliopsida; Fagales; Juglandaceae
Exons: 3
Source: RefSeq, a predicted model, not a curated record